AAUUUCUAACAAUGUAUAAUGGUUGGUCUCAAGUGGAAAUGUAUUUAUAUUUCCCAAACAGUUCAUCCUGAUUAAUGGACAGCUUUGCUCCAAGUGGUGUUUCAGGGACUCAAGUACUUUUUAUCUUAUUCUUCCAACAUCUUCAACUCCUGCCAAUGAAAAAUGAAAUAACUGUUUUUGUCCCAUAAAAGCCCUUGAAAUUUUGUUCAUUGUUUUCUAGGCUAUUUUCUGUGUAGGCUAUUUUCUGUUGUUCAGUUUGGCUAAAUUCUGUUGAUCUGUCCUCAAGUUUACUGAGAUUUUUCUAAUUUCAUAUUUGCUUCAAGAGAAUUUGUAAUUGCUUGUUAAAAUACUUUUAUGAUGGUUGCUUUAAAGUAUUUGUCAGGAAAUUCCAACCUCUAAAGCAUCUCUAUUCAUUAUUUGAUCUCAUUCUAGUUGUGGUUUUCCUGGUUCUUGGUAGAAUGAGUGAUUUUCUAUUGUAUCCUAAACAUUUUGGAUACUAUAAGACUCUGGAUGCUAUUUAAUUCUCUUUUUAAGCAGAGAGCACACCUAUUGCAAUGUACUCUGAGGACCAAGAGGGUGGUGUGGGUUGGAGUGAAGCCUAGGAAGUUGAGUUUCUAAACAGGUUCCCAAGUGAUUGUGAUGCUGCCCAGCUAAGGAUUGUCCUUUGAGAAUCACUGGGGAAAAAAGAAAAUAAUUGAAUUAGAUUGAAGGAAACCUGGAUUUCCAUGUUGAGAGCUUUAUUUCCCACUGGGCCUUGUCAAAACCAUGCCAGGAAAAGUGAGGCACAGGCUUUCUUUACUGACCACAAGUGGGGGUUCUGGGGUAUUUUACUUUCCUCCUGGGCCUUGCUGAUCCUGGGGAAGGGAGAAGUGGAAGGCUCAUUCAUGCUCACUUGUUGGAAGGUGGGAUAAGCUUAGCUUCUGGCUGGCAGUUUCUGACACCAGGGGAAGGAAAAGGAGGAAAUGGAGUACAGACUAGCCUCACCUCUCACCAUCCCAUCAUGCUUCAUUGAUAACAAGUGUGGGAGCCCCACCAUUGUUUGGCAUUGCCAUCUCAACUCAUGGCUUCUAGAGUCACUGAGGCAUGGAGGGAAAACAAUGGAGGACCCAGAUGCUCUCAAACCUUCUUCACUUAAGACCUUCUUAAAGAUCUACAACAUUGUAGCAGAUCUGUCUAGGAUUCAAGUUUUGUUUCUCUGUUGUCAACUCGUAUACCAUCAGUUAAGCUUUGCUUUCUAAUAUGUUUUAUGGCAAGGAAAAUGGGUGACAUGUCAUCAGUUCACACAAGUAUGGAAAUCUUAAUGGCAUAAUCUAAUAGCAGGGAGCAGUCUAGGAAUUCACCCCAUGUGACGGUUAAUUUUACAUGUCAACCUGACUAAGCUAUGGUGCCCAGGUGUUUGGUCAAACACCAAUCUAGAUGUUGCUGUGAAAGCAUUUCCUUGAAUGUGAUUAACAUUUAAAUAAUUAGAACCUGAAUCAGGCAAACUACCUUCUGCAAUGAGUGGGCCUUACCCAAUCAUUUGAAGGCCUCAUGAGCAAAAGAAAGAGAUCCUUUGGAGGCAGAAGAAAACUGGCCUGCAGACUGCCAGACUGCCUUCAGACUUGAGCCAAAACUGCAACUCUCCAGGAUUUCUAGACUUUCCAUCUGUGCAAACUUUAUAAUAAAUCUCUCUCUCUCUCUCUCUCUGUCUAUAUAUAUAUAAAUAUAUAUACACACACACAUAUAUACCUAUAUGUAUAUAUUUAUGUGUGUAUAUAAACCAAGAAAUGUAAAAAAUAACAAAUUUUAUUGAUUAGAUAUCUGCUAUACUCACUCUGACAGAAGCUUUAGCUGCUUUAUUGAAAUUUCAAGAUUAUCUUAUAAGAUAAAUAUUAAUAUUCCCACUUUUAAAAUAAGUAAACUGAGUUACAAAGAGAUUUAGCAGCUUCCUGAUAAGGCACUAGGAUUUGAUUUAAAUUCAAAUUUGCUGACUCUAAUGUCUUUUAACAACCACCACACAUCAACUUAUUGAAAUUCAUAACAACACUAAAGUUAUAUCAUUUUUUCUAUCAGCCUUCAAUACCUAAGUUUUUUUAAAAAAAAAUCACACACCCUUUGAUUUUAUCAUUUUGUAUGUCUUUCUCUCUUCCUUCAAUAUUUGCCUCCUCUUUGUCACCUGGAUUUCAAUACCCAAGUCCUGAACAUGGGGCACCUUUUUCUCCCAGACUCAGUUCCAUGUAAUGUAGAUGCACAGAUGAGCUAUACAUGGUCUGUGCCCCAGAGAAUAAAUCUUUAUGGAUGUUUCUCCCAUCGUACAUUUCUUUUUCAUUUUUCUGACUGUAACUUGAGUAACAAGAUACACUGGGGACUUUGUCACUAUUGAUGAAAUACAGGAUAAAAAUAAUUGUCACUAUAGGCUUAUCUUCUUCUCUAAUCAUUUAUGGAGCCCAUUAUGGAUGCUACUUAGCAUUGCCAAUUAACCAACAAAUACUUGAGUUUAUUCUUUGUCCUUUCCUGUUUCUGCAGCCAGGAAUAUAUAAUUCUAUAAGAUACACUAACUUGUGGCGGCAUUUACAGACUUUUAGGGAGACACAAUUAACAUAUAUAAAGCAAUUAGAGAGCAGCAUAAUCAAGAAUAUAUGUAAAUGACAAAUUGUUUGGAGAAGUGAGUUUACAGAUAACUUGAAUAACUGUAAAAGAAGUCAUUCCAGACCUAGAGCCAAUAAAAUUAGGAAAUUGAAAAAAGGAUGCAUGAGAUCCAUUUUGUGCAUUGUUUAGGUCGGUGUUUCUUAAACUUUACUGGGCAUUAGUACAACCCGAAGGACC
This 2805-nucleotide long non-coding RNA is filed under the name Homo sapiens (human). RNAcentral describes it as "non-protein coding lnc-HAO1-5:1". Lineage: Eukaryota; Metazoa; Chordata; Mammalia; Primates; Hominidae. The record is from RNAcentral.